ACUCCUGCGGGAGGCAGCAGUGGGGAAUAUUGGACAAUGGGCGCAAGCCUGAUCCAGCCAUGCCGCGUGAGUGAUGAAGGCCCUAGGGUUGUAAAGCUCUUUCACCGGUGAAGAUAAUGACGGUAACCGGAGAAGAAGCCCCGGCUAACUUCGUGCCAGCAGCCGCGGUAAUACGAAGGGGGCUAGCGUUGUUCGGAUUUACUGGGCGUAAAGCGCACGUAGGCGGACUAUUAAGUCAGGGGUGAAAUCCCGGGGCUCAACCCCGGAACUGCCUUUGAUACUGGUAGUCUUGAGUUCGAGAGAUGGGAGUGGAAUUCCGGGUGUAGAGGUGAAAUUCGUAGAUAUUCGGAGGAACACCAGUGGCGAAGGCGGCUCACUGGCUCGAUACUGACGCUGAGGUGCGAAAGCGUGGGGAGCAAACAGGAUUAGAUACCCGAGUAGUCCCAUGAU
This 450-nucleotide ribosomal RNA is filed under the name uncultured organism. RNAcentral's name for it is "partial 16S ribosomal RNA". It matches the Rfam family "Bacterial small subunit ribosomal RNA", at positions 335 to 801 of the family's 1533-position model. The record is from RNAcentral.